CCUACGGGAGGCUGCAGUGGGGAAUAUUGCACAAUGGGGGAAACCCUGAUGCAGCGACGCCGCGUGAAGGAAGAAGUAUUUCGGUAUGUAAACUUCUAUCAGCAGGGAAGAAAAUGACGGUACCUGACUAAGAAGCCCCGGCUAACUACGUGCCAGCAGCCGCGGUAAUACGUAGGGGGCAAGCGUUAUCCGGAUUUACUGGGUGUAAAGGGAGCGUAGGCGGUUUAGCAAGUCAGAAGUGAAAGCCCGGGGCUCAACUCCGGGACUGCUUUUGAAACUGUUGAACUAGAGUGCAGGAGAGGUAAGUGGAAUUCCUAGUGUAGCGGUGAAAUGCGUAGAUAUUAGGAGGAACACCAGUGGCGAAGGCGGCUUACUGGACUGUAAAUGACGCUGAGGCUCGAAAGCGUGGGGAGCAAACAGGAUUAGAUACCCUAGUAGUC
RNAcentral lists this ribosomal RNA (440 nucleotides) under uncultured bacterium. RNAcentral's name for it is "partial 16S ribosomal RNA". It matches the Rfam family "Bacterial small subunit ribosomal RNA", at positions 338 to 795 of the family's 1533-position model. The record is from RNAcentral.